RNAcentral lists this ribosomal RNA (614 nucleotides) under uncultured bacterium. RNAcentral's name for it is "bacterial SSU rRNA". The stretch from base 1 to 524 matches the Rfam family "Bacterial small subunit ribosomal RNA", at positions 338 to 873 of the family's 1533-position model. The record is from RNAcentral.
CCUACGGGAGGCAGCAGUGGGGAAUAUUGCACAAUGGGCGCAAGCCUGAUGCAGCGACGCCGCGUGGGGGAUGAAGGCCUUCGGGUUGUAAACCCCUUUCAGCAGGGAAGAAGCGAAAGUGACGGUACCUGCAGAAGAAGCGCCGGCUAACUACGUGCCAGCAGCCGCGGUAAUACGUAGGGCGCAAGCGUUGUCCGGAAUUAUUGGGCGUAAAGAGCUCGUAGGCGGUUUGUCGCGUCUGCUGUGAAAGUCCGAGGCUCAACCUCGGAUCUGCAGUGGGUACGGGCAGACUAGAGUGUGGUAGGGGAGACUGGAAUUCCUGGUGUAGCGGUGGAAUGCGCAGAUAUCAGGAGGAACACCAAUGGCGAAGGCAGGUCUCUGGGCCACAACUGACGCUGAGGAGCGAAAGCAUGGGGAGCGAACAGGAUUAGAUACCCUGGUAGUCCAUGCCGUAAACGGUGGGCACUAGAUGUGGGGCUCUUUCCAUGUAGUCCGUCGUCGCAGCUACGCAUAAGUCGCCCGCCGUCGGGAGGUACGGCCGCGACGGACGUAAACCGUACGAAGAAGUUAGACGGCGUGAGACGUAGACCGACGGACGACGACGAGGGAGGAGG